CCUACGGGAGGCAGCAGUGAGGGAUAUUGGUCAAUGGGCGAGAGCCUGAACCAGCCAAGUCGCGUGAGGGAUGACGGCCCUACGGGUUGUAAGCUUCUUUUGUCAGGGAGCAAUUGAGUCCACGUGUGGGCUUAGCGAGAGUACCUGACGAAAAAGCAUCGGCUAAGUCCGUGCAAGCAGCCGCGGUAAUACGGAGGAUGCGAGGGUUAACAGGAUUUGUGGGGGUUAAAGGGUGCGUGGGCGGAAUAGCAAGUCAGCGGUAAAAAUUCGGGGCUCAACCCCGUCGUGCCGUUGAAACUGAGGUUCUUGAGUGGGCGAGAAGUAUGCGGAAUGCGUGGUGUAGCGGUGAAAUGCAUAGAUAUCACGCAGAACUCCGAUUGCGAAGGCAGCAUACCGGCGCCCAACUGACGCUGAAGCACGAAAGCGUGGGUAUCGAACAGGAUUAGAUACCCCUGUAGUC
This 460-nucleotide ribosomal RNA is filed under the name uncultured bacterium. RNAcentral describes it as "partial 16S ribosomal RNA". It matches the Rfam family "Bacterial small subunit ribosomal RNA", at positions 338 to 795 of the family's 1533-position model. The record is from RNAcentral.